CUCCCACUGUCACUCGUCUCACUCUCCACCGUCUCUCUCUCUUCUCUCCCGUCCUCUCCCCUCACUGCCUUCUUUUCCCCUUUUGACCGAACCCUCUCCCCAUUUUCUGCUCGUUUUCGAUUUUUCUCCAAUCAAGUACUUUCUCUCACUGAUUUUCACUGUGCUAUCACUGUUGGAUCCGUUUUCAGCUUGGGGAUUUGUCUUCCCCCUCGUAACAGCAAUUAGAGAAGGCCUUGGUAGUGGCGGCAUUGGAGGAUUUUAGCCGUUUGGGGACCACUUGGACGCGUGAGGUGGCUGCCGGGAGGAUUACAGCAGUUUAGACCUUCAAUCGGGGUUCACCGGGUACGUCCCGUCGACCUUGAGUUACCGGAUUCGAAGCUCGAGGCAUUUUGAAGAUUCUUGUGAACGCGCCACAGGUUUUGGUGUACCCGGGGCAGCAGGCUGAGCAGAUGGCUACACUCACGUCCUACUGGGGAGGUUUUGGGUUUUGUUUUGUUCUUGUAGUGCCGGCGCGUCGGGUUUUUGGUUUUUACUGAUGCCUUGUUUUGAUGAGGCAUCGAUGUUGUGAUUUUGGGGCAUUUUUGUCAAAUGUACAAUUGAAUUGAAAU
This is a long non-coding RNA of Nymphaea colorata (pocket water lily), 608 nucleotides long. RefSeq lists it as uncharacterized. The transcript is spliced from 3 exons. The record is from RefSeq and is a predicted model, not a curated record. Lineage: Eukaryota; Viridiplantae; Streptophyta; Magnoliopsida; Nymphaeales; Nymphaeaceae.